AAUACAUUUACGCUUCCAUUACGUUACUUUGAUUCUUCCUCAUUCUUUGAGGAAUUUAUCCUUUAGUAUUUCUCAAAUACUUAAGGACUCACUUGACAGUUGCCAUGGUUCUGAUCCUGGGCUUGCACUGAUAUCGUCUUGUACCGUUCUUGGUACAACUCAUAUCAAUGUUUUUCAUACAAUAUGAAAUACAUAAAUCACCUUUCUGCGUAUGCAUAAAGGAUUCAAUUUACGCAUUAUUUCUUUGGGAGUCAAAGGGUACAUUCCCUUUGAGAAGGGCAACUUGCUAGUCUCACUAGAAUCGUCCUUCAUAUUGAAGUUUAUCAUCAUAUGAGAAACUUCCUAGCAUCCAUUGUCUAUUAUUAGGGAUUGAUAUAAUCCAAUUAUAUCAUGAAAUAUAUCAUUAUAGAUUUCCAUCCCUUGUAUAUAGAUUAUAUCUCCCAUAUACAUUCUAUCAUUUAUAGAAUGCUUAAAGUCAUAACUUUAACGAAGAAGUAUUCUUUUCAUUUCCAAAAUUAAUAUAUCAUAUAUAUUUAAAUUUUAGGAACAUGAUUAACUCCCACUAAUCUUUUGUAAAACUAGUAAACAAAAGAUUCAUUUACAUCUUUAUGAGAAAUCAAACGAUUUGAUCAUUUUUCUCAUAAAAUGCAAAUAGCUCCCACUAACUUGCUAAGAUCCAUGAUGGAUGGAUCUCUACAACUUACAUG
RNAcentral lists this long non-coding RNA (707 nucleotides) under Malus domestica (apple). Its description in RNAcentral is "long non-coding RNA (MDOM_LNC017060)". The record is from RNAcentral. Lineage: Eukaryota; Viridiplantae; Streptophyta; Magnoliopsida; Rosales; Rosaceae.